This is a long non-coding RNA of Macadamia integrifolia, 4036 nucleotides long. RefSeq lists it as uncharacterized. The transcript has 2 exons. NCBI's taxonomy places the organism in Eukaryota, Viridiplantae, Streptophyta, Magnoliopsida, Proteales, Proteaceae. The record is from RefSeq and is a predicted model, not a curated record.
UCAGAAAUAGGGUGCAAAAAUCUUACCAAACAGCUUCCGAAAUAGAAAUCACCCCUUGAAAUCGAAAUUAUACCAAAGAGGGUCUUAUGGACAACUCAUUUUCUGUUCAAGAUGGAGGUGCAAUAGCUAUGAGAAAGCAUAUAUUACAGUAGAUGUUUUCAUAUUAAUCAAAUGUCUUCUAGCUUCUGGAAUUCUUUUUUUUUUUUUCUUAAUUGUUCCAUUUAGACAUGGUGUCAAAUCUCCAUCCAAAGUACUAAAUCUAGAUAUUUCUUGGUAUCUUUCUUCCCUGCCCUCCCUUCCACCCUUCAUUCAUUCUUUUUUAUACUUUAUUUUUUCCCAGUUACUAUUUACCAAUAAUAUUAGUGGGGGAAAGUUUAAGAUUUAAUAAAACCUUCAAAUAAGAAAGUAUCCGAAGAUAUUCUGAAGUGUCUUCAUUUUUCCCUCUAAAAAUUAUAUAUUUUAAAAGACAGCAUUCACUAGGAAUCUGUUGUUAUAAAAUCAAUCUCCUACAGAAGUCUUUUGUAUCCUGUUAAUUGUCUGUAUUGCGAGGCUUUGUGUUAAGUGAGCUUAAUUAGACAUAUCGUGUAAAGAUAUAAUGAACAAUGAGAAGAAGAGCCAGAACCACCAUAAAUAAGAAUGAAUAUUUAAAUCUGCUGAUGCCGUUGCCAUGGGAAGUGAUGCUAAUGCCAUUUUUUAGCUCAGUGCUUGAUGUUAUGGAUUUUGGAACCAUCUGUACAAAUUGAUUAUCUAUCAAAUGAAGUAUUUCUUAGACUUCUCAAAAUUCAUCAAAGCCCCUUGACUCUUUGAUGGAGGUGAAAAUGCUUCAUUAGAACCAUUGACUGCACUGCAGUUAGGAGAGGAAUCUGAAAUUGACAGACAUUAGUGUGGAAGCUAUGUUCCUUACCAUCAUUCUCUUAAGCAUAUAUGCUGGAGAUAGCUAGUCUAUGUGAUGUUUUGGCUUGUGGGAGGUAUAUAGAUACUACAAGGAUUCUUCACAUCCAGGUAUUUCUCAUGCCGUCUUGGAUAUCCUAAGUUGACUGCAUAUAAGCAGAUUCAAUAUGGAUCCUAUUCAUGUGUCUAAGUCCCAGGUGAGCCUUUUUCACUUUGAUGUGGAAAAUUUUAUGGUGUAAGAAAGGCAUUGUUGCCUGUGAAAAUGCAUUUUGAAUAGGACUGUAAGAGGCUCUAUCUGAAAAUGUUUGACAUAGAAUCAUUGCAUCCUAAUUUCUGUUUACUACUUUAAGCAUCCAUGUUAAAUCUCCAUCCUCUAUAUACUGUUCCAGUCCAAAUGCAAUUUAUUACUACUUGAAUUCAUUUUUCCACCUAUGUACUAAGCAUGGAGGUGAUUCCUAUUCUAUGAAAUAGGAUCAUACUUUAUAGGAUGGGCUAGGGGAUUAUAUUACCAUUCUCAGAAUCUGGAGGAAGUUGGUAAGAUAUAUCAAUAAGACCCAUAGAAGGUUACUAAAUACUCUGAGGAAGCUGGCCACCCCUUGAUGUUUAUGAUCCAGUUUGAGGAGGGUUACUGCUAACUGCUGUGUGUAUUGUUUCCAUUAAAGCUGUGCCUUCCUUAUAUUAUUGUUUCCAUCACUACUCCAAUCCUAAAAUCAUUUAGGGUUUUGUAUUUUACAUAGAUGACCACUCGAUGCAGUUAAAUCAUCUAAAUUGACUUAUGUUAUUGGAAAUAAGUUUUUUGUUGGCUUAUGUAUGUGUUGGGCCUUUGAUCCCAUGAGUUUUCUUUGUAAUGGGCCACUUUAAUGGGCCUAUAAUAUCGGUGGAGGCUAGGCAUACGGGAUUAGUUAGAUAAAAUGUUUAAUUUCGUUAUGUAAUUGUUAUUUAGUGUUUUAGUUUGGGUGGGUUUGGAUUCUACAAGUUCAGUACUGUUCUGAGUCAGUUAUUAUUGUUUCAGUUUCCUAGUUAGUUUAGGUAAAGCGAUUAGUUAAGGAUUGAGUUAGGCAUGUGUUUGACUCUAUUUUUGAGUCUUCAAAUUCAGUACUACAUUAAGCACAACAGGAUCAAAGUAAGAGGGGAGAUCAGAACUAAAGUGAAAACUUGAAUGGUUGUCUAAAUGAGUGAGAUGUAAAUAUGUUAUGCAGUCAGAUCAGUUAGUCAUUAAACCUGUGUUGUGGUGUGGUGGUGGAUGCUGUAUGUGCAUACAGAGUGGUGGAUUCUGUUGAAUGUGUGACAAGUUUGGAUAAGAGUUGAAUUACUGAUGCAGGUUGAAUGGGAGGAGUUCAUGUGGGUAAAGUGGAGGAGAAGAGAGGUUUAAUUGCGAGUCGGUUUGAGUGCAAACAGCUAAAAAAAGUCAUGGAAUGGACCCUAUGGAUAUCAUUUGAAACAAUUAACUAUUUGAGAGAAGAAAUGGGGCCCAAUGGUUAUUAAGUACACUGUAGAACAACUUGGAUUUGGAAUUGGAUAGAGGAAAAACUAUAACAGUAUACUGAAUGGUAAUGAAGAGGGAAUGACCAAACCUCUUGUAGAGGAUUCACUCACUUUAAGUUUGUACAGACAGCAGAAACUGAAUGAAAUUGGAAAUUUCGAAGUUAAAACACAUUCCAUUCAAAAUCCACAUAAAGCUAAUGAUACAUGUUAAUAUGUAUUUUUCAACCUUGGCCUAUUCUAGAAUCUUUCAAAGCUGAACUUGUUGCCAUGUAUAAAAAGUAAAGUACGAAUUUAAGGGGAUGGAAAACACAACAAAACACUAGAUUGGGUGUUAAAGACUAAUUGGAAUGUUUGAUUAGUGGCUGCUUUGCUGGGAAGGGAGAUUCUCAAUGUUAUUAAAUUAGAAGCUCCAAUAAGUAAUAACUUUACUUUUUUUGUAGUUGGAAACUGCACAAUUGGACUUAAUGGAAGUGUAGUUUGUCUUCCAAGUAUAUGGAGAAAGAACUAAUUUCUUUGAAUACCAUAACAAGGAGUAUUAGAUCCAGACUAAGUAGCUGCAAUAAGUAAAAUAAUGUUUGUCUUACAGCUGAGUACCCAGCUGUAACCCUGUCAAUAAGAUCUGCAAUUCAAUUUUCAAUGUAGGAUUGAAGAUCACCGAUGAUUAUCAUAAAUAAAAAGCAGAUGCAGGGUUGAUGGAAUGAUUUCUGCUAUUUUCACAGCAGAGGGAAAUACUCUUAUAGCAUCAAUACUUAAAAUUUGAAUGAAUGAGACAUGUAUCUUCCAUGUGUGUUGCUUCCUUUGCAAAUGAUGCUUGACUAAAAACUCCCCCCCCCCUCCCCCUGAUGGACUGAUUGACAAUGGUUGGAAGACUGCUAUGAAGUAAUCCUGGACAGCAUUUGAGAAUCAACUGCUAGCAAGUAGCAAGUAGCAAGUCAUGAAUAAUUAUUUCCUUGCCAAGAUCUUUCUAUAUGUUUUAAUUUUGUUUGAAAUUUAAGAUACUGUUCUCAUCAGGAAUAUAUAUUGCUGGAUCUACUUUCAAAUUUUCCUUUUCUAACAAAUUCUUUAUCCAUGACAAGUAAAGGGGGAAAGGAAGAAUGUAAAUCAAGAAGAAAAAAACAAUUCUGGUGGGUGAAUUCUGUACUUGAAAAUGACCCAAAAAGCUUACUAGUGAAAGGCAAUUUAUUUAUUUAUUAAUUUUGGGGUUUCUCAUUCAAAUUUUAAAUACUGGAAUGUCCCAGGAUGAGAAGGACGGCGCUGAGAUGAUUAUUGAUGGGCGGCAAUAAAUAUCUCUGCUGUUGGUGUCUUCCUUGGUAUGACAUUGAAACUGAUGGAAGGUAAGGUACAGGGCCCAGACCAUGAACUUAGAAAAGAAACAAAAUAAGGCUAGUGAAAUAAAGCUGAAGGUACUGCAAAAUACUCACAUGCCAUGUCAAUGAGACUCAUGAUCCCAUGUGGUGCUUUGGUGUAUUUAGAGGAAAGAGAUUCUACUUGUGUUCCAGAAGAGGUCUGAGAAAAUGGAACCAUAUUUAAAAGUUGAUAAAUUAUGCUUUGAUGGAGCCAUUAAGGGAAAAGAACAAAAAUUAAUGAAAAGUGAAAGUCACAUGGGACCAUUGUUUACAAACAUCAAUGUGUAAGAAUGGGGUGUGGAUGUUGGUACUCU